Molecule: ribosomal RNA, 430 nt
Filed under: Bacteroidetes bacterium oral taxon F31
Lineage: Bacteria; Pseudomonadati; Bacteroidota
Description: bacterial SSU rRNA
Rfam family: Bacterial small subunit ribosomal RNA
Source: RNAcentral
GAUGAACGCUAGCGGCAGGCCUAACACAUGCAAGUCGAGGGGUAGAGGAAGCUUGCUUCCUUGAGACCUGCGCACGGGUGCGUAACGCGUAUGCAAUCUACCUUGUACAGGGGGAUAGCCCAGAGAAAUUUGGAUUAAUACCUCAUAGUGUUUAAGAGUGGCAUCACUUUUUUACUAAAGUUCCAACGGUACAAGAUGAGCAUGCGUCCCAUUAGCUAGUUGGUGUGGUAACGGCAUACCAAGGCAAUGAUGGGUAGGGGUCCUGAGAGGGAGGUCCCCCACACUGGUACUGAGACACGGACCAGACUCCUACGGGAGGCAGCAGUGAGGAAUAUUGGGCAAUGGAGGCAACUCUGACCCAGCCAUGCCGCGUGCAGGAAGACGGUCCUAUGGAUUGUAAAACUGCUUUUGUACGAGAAGAAACAUCCCG